RNAcentral lists this ribosomal RNA (634 nucleotides) under uncultured Tomentella. RNAcentral's name for it is "eukaryotic LSU rRNA". The stretch from base 248 to 402 matches the Rfam family "5.8S ribosomal RNA". Lineage: Eukaryota; Fungi; Basidiomycota; Agaricomycetes; Thelephorales; Thelephoraceae. The record is from RNAcentral.
AAGUCGUAACAAGGUUUCCGUAGGUGAACCUGCGGAAGGAUCAUUACUGAAUUGUCAACAAGAGUUGUUGCUGGUCCUCAAACGGGGGCAUGUGCACACUCUGUUCACACAUCCACUCACACCUGUGCACCCUCUGUAGUUCUAUGGUCGGUGGGGCCUGUCCCUCCCACCAUGGUUCUGCGUCUUUAUCACACACACUGUAACAAAGUCUCAUGGAAUGUGUACCGCGUUUAACGCAAUACAAUACAACUUUCAGCAACGGAUCUCUUGGCUCUCGCAUCGAUGAAGAACGCAGCGAAAUGCGAUAAGUAAUGUGAAUUGCAGAAUUCAGUGAAUCAUCGAAUCUUUGAACGCACCUUGCGCCCUUUGGCCAUUCCGAAGGGCAUGCCUGUUUGAGUAUCAUGAACACCUCAACUCUUCAUGGUUUUCCAUGAUGAGCUUGGACUUUGGGGGUCUUGCUGGCCUGUGGUCGGCUCCUCUCAAAUGAAUCAGCUUGCCGGUUUUUGGUGGGCAUCACAGGUGUGAUAACUAUCUACGCUUGUGGUUUUCCACCAGGGUAACCUUCAGCAGUGGAGGUUCACUGGAGCUUACAAAUGUCUCUCCUCCGUGAGGACAGCCCUUGAACGUUGAUCUC